RNAcentral lists this transfer RNA (67 nucleotides) under Procecidochares utilis. Its description in RNAcentral is "tRNA-Phe". Lineage: Eukaryota; Metazoa; Arthropoda; Insecta; Diptera; Tephritidae. The record is from RNAcentral.
AUUCAAAUAGCUUAAAUAUUACAGCAUAACAUUGAAGAUGUUAGGGUAAUUAAAUAAUUUUUGAAUA